Molecule: long non-coding RNA, 1453 nt
Filed under: Taeniopygia guttata (zebra finch)
Lineage: Eukaryota; Metazoa; Chordata; Aves; Passeriformes; Estrildidae
Description: lncRNA (ENSTGUG00000021937.1)
Source: RNAcentral
GGAGCAUCCCUGGCUGCGGCCGCGCCGCUCCCGCUGCCCAUCCCGGCGCUCCCGGGGAUAUUCCCGGGGAUAUUCCCGGUGGGAGCGGGGCGAUAUCCGCCCCCCGGAGGCUCUGCAGAAGGAGGAUGAGGAAGAUGCCGCUCGGCGCACCGGCGGAGCCGCAGCCCCGGGAGGCGCCGGGCGCUGCCGGCGGAGCUGGAGGGUUUGGCAUUCCUGCAGGGACAGCUCCCAUCGGCCCCAGGAGCUGCUGGAACCUCCUUGUGCCAGCGGUGGGGACGCCGGGACAGGAGUGGCACUUGUCCCCUGCGCCAGGGAAAGGCUCCCGAGGCAGGAUUUGGCCCUGGCUGGUUCCUCUGCGCUGGGAUCCCGAGCCCUGAGCCUGCCUGGGGUUUGGAUGCUCCCUUCUGUCUGCAGCUGGGAAUGGCACCGUGCCUCCUGCUCCUCCCAAAUCCUGUGGAUUUACUGCUGUUGGCACCAUCCUGCUGGGACUGGCUCCAGCUUCAGCACAGGGAAUCUCCCGAGGGACAGAUGGGGAAAAGCAGCACUUACUACAGCCUGAGGCUACAAUUCCCUCUUUUUCUGGGCUACUCCGAGCAUCCUGGCUCUGCAGGAGGAAGGAUUCAAUGCAUUCCUGGAGGACAAAUCCUGUUGCUCUGACGGUCGUGCCGAAGGCUCGGGGUGAGGGACAGAGGGACAGAGGGACAGAAGGACAGAAGGACAGCCAGGAGCAGCUCCCGAGGACAGGAUGGACACUGCAGCUGGAGCUCAGGGCCAGCAGGGACCAGCAGGGACCAGCAGCUCCCCUGGGCAGCGAUGGAACAUCUGGGCUGGGAGAGGCUCUUCCCUGAGCUCCAGAAGCAAAGCCAGCUCCACAUCUGCUCCUCCCCAGCCUGGCUGGGCUGCACAUCCCUGCAGGAGCUCAGCUCCUCCCACCUGCAGCUGAUGGGACUGAAUAAGCAAUUUUCUGCUGGGCUUUGGGAAUUAUCCUUUGGAUCCUGCCAAUGGAUGGAUGGAUGGUGAAGAGCUCUUGGGCCGAGCAGGAGCUCAGUGCUGUUCUCUGGCAAAGGACCAAGCGCUUGCCUGCUUUCCAGUGGAUUUUUUUUUGGUCUUUAUUUCCUUCUGCUCUUUUUUUCUGCGGCUUUUUGAGGCUUUGGGUGUUUCCUGAGGAUGCUGGAGCUGCAGUGGAUCCCGUGGUGGGAGCUGGAGCCUUUGGAAGAGCAGGAGCUGAGCUGGUGCUGGGCUUUCAGACUGGCAGAGGCUCGUCCUGUGCUGGGUGGCCUCAGGAGGGUCCUUGUGCCACAGCUGGAGCAUCCCAGUGGAUCCCAGUCCAGGUGGGACCAUGGAGCAGGAGCAGGAACGGGGGGAAGCCAAACCCCGGCGAGGGGAAUGUCACAGUGAGGAGAAUGUCACCCUCAGGGACAAUUAAAUUGCGUUUAAUAAACCCCAUUGGCUC